CGUCUCUGCCUCUCUCUGCAAAGUUUGUUUAGAUGAAAGCGUUUGUCUAGCAGGCAGCAGCGUGGCUACGCAUUAAAAACCUGAGCACGAAGCAACCACACUACUUGACAUCCUUCCACUGCUCCAAAGCCUCCUGAGGGGGAAGAGGCAUAGUUGUGCCAUCUUCAAGACUGUGAUUCAUGCCUACAGAUAACCUGAGCCCUAGGACCAUACGUCAGGACUACCGGGCAUGCUGACACCUUGCUGUCCCCAGUCCGCCCGGCCUUGCUGCUAUUCCAGUUUCAACUGUUUCUGCCUGCGGUUACGAAACCCCUACCUGUCCCAGACCUGCUGUUUUCAACUCUUAAUGAUCGGCUAUGAAAAGCCAACUGAGAUUUAUUCCUGAUUAUUAUUUGACCAUGCUUGUCAUUUAUGAACAUUUUGAAAAUCUUGGCUCUCUCUAAUUUUCUCCUUCUCUCUUUCUCUCGGAGGACCUGAGCCCUAGGACCAUACGUCGGGACUACCGGCCGUGGUGACUCCUUGCUGCCCCCAGUCAGCCUGGCCUUGCUGCUAUUCCAGUUUCAACUCUUCUGCCUGCGGUUAUGGAACCCCUACCUGUCCCAGACCUGCUGUUUUCAACUCUUAAUGAUCGGCUAUGAAAAGCCAACUGAGAUUUAUUCCUGAUUAUUAUUUGACCAUGCUUGUCAUUUAUGAACAUUUUGAAAAUCUUGGCUCUCUCUAAUUUUCUCCUUCUCUCUUUCUUUCUCUCGGAGGACCUGGGCCCUAGGACCAUGCGUCGGGACUGCCGCCCGUGGUGACUCCUUGCUGUCCCCAGUCCGCCUGGCCUUGCUGCUAUUCCAGUUUCAGCUGUUCUGCCUGCGGUUAUGGAACCGCCACCUGUCCCAGACCUGUUGUUUUUCAACUCUUAAUGAUCAGCUAUGAAAAGCCAACUGAAAAUUAUUCAUGAUUAUUAUUUGACCAUGCUUGUCACUUAUGAACAUUUUUGAACAUCUUGGCAUAGUUCUGUUAUAAUCUCCACCCGGCACAGCCAGAAGAGGACUGGCCACCCCUCAUAGCCUGGUUCCUCUCUAGGUUUCUUCCUAGGUUUUGGCCUUUCUAGGGAG
Molecule: long non-coding RNA, 1103 nt
Organism: Salvelinus fontinalis (brook trout)
Lineage: Eukaryota; Metazoa; Chordata; Actinopteri; Salmoniformes; Salmonidae
Exons: 3
Source: RefSeq, a predicted model, not a curated record